CUGUUGGCAGCACCGGGCAGGUGGGAUGUUCCAGCUACAGGGAAAAGAAACCUCCCCCCAGUUUUCCAGAGUUGAAAUUUUCUCCUUUAGCCAAACAUAUCACAUAAACAACAACAAUAACAAAAUCAUGAGGUUUGAUUCCUGGUUUGUAACCACCUUAAAAGAAGACUGGAACUCAUGAUCCUCUCUACUUGCAAACAAUCCCAUAAAGCUGAAGUUGAGACUUCAAAGUGAUUACUAAAGAAUGUUAAUCUGGCUGCAUUUCUCACUCAUUUUUAAUUAAACUAACGUUCCUCUCACAGCUUUUUGAAAGCUACAGCUGUCAGUAUACAUGUACGUACACGUGUGCAUCUACAUACGAUAGAAUUUGCCAAUUUUAAAUGUGCCGAAAACAAUAACUGAGAUAUAAAGAGGGAAGGAAUUCUCAAAACUCACUUCUCAGAAUUAAUAACAAUGUCAAGUAACAUUUUUUUAAAAAACGAGACAGUAGCUACAGUAUAUUGGCAAAUUCAGGCUUGGCCGAGUAGAAUGGUUAAGAAUAGAGACUACGACACCAAACUGCCUGUGAUCACAUGCCAGCUCUGCCAUUUAGGAGCUCUGUGACCUUGAACAAGCCUUUUACCUGUGUCCUCAUCUGUGAAAUGAGGACAACAGAGGACCUACCUCAGGUGGUGUGGAGUAACCAUGGACUUGUCAAGUGGAGAGUCGCCUUAAGAUAGUGUGUUAGCUCUGCUGUCAUGCAGAGUAUGGUGUGCUUGGGAAGAGAGACAUAGGGGCUCCAGCUGAGAAGACAAACAUGAGAUCACCUUCAUGAAAUGGUUUAGCAGAUAGCCUAAUGACUCGUGCUAUACCAUGCCUCCUCUUCUGCAAUGCUGCAUGGCCUCACUCCAGAGAGAUGCAACCGUGACCUUGGUUGGCCUUGACUUGCUGACCAAGGAAAUGAAGCAGAAGUGAUGCUCUGGGAAUUCUUAGUUUAGCCCCUAAGAGUUCUCAGCUUUGGCCUUUGUACACUCAGAACACUCACUCUUAGGCUCUAACCACCAUGAAGAGAAGCUCAAGGGAGCUGCACAGAGAAAGAAAGGGAGUUGGGGUGGUCCCAGGCUUCUAGCCAUACCUUCUAGGAGCCAUAGACCCAUCUCCUAUCUGUCCACAAUCUCAUGAGAGAUCCCAGGCGAUUCCCCUAAGGAGUGGAGUCAGCCCAAAAAGUUCCUGAUCCACAGAAUCAUGAACAAAUAAAAUGAUGCUGUUUUAAGCCACUAAGUUUUAGUGGACGUUCAUUACACGGCGAUUGACAUCCAAAGCAACACUCUGAGCCGAAUGUCAAAUAAAUAAUAAACUGCAACUCUGACAACCUCAGGGCAACAGCACUGGCCCACAAUCAACAUGUGUUAAGUUGUCCUUUACCCUUGAUUAUUUAUUACCACAUCUCAUUUCAAGCCUAUGUCACACUUAACUGAUUAGUGGUCAAGCUUUUCAAACAGUGGUUCUCAGAAAAUGUAAUCCUCUGACUCUACCUUGCAAAAGCCUAUGAAAAUGUGGUGUGUGGAUUAAAAUUCCCUGGAGUUCAGUCUAAAUUUUUCUAUUGGUACUUUUUAGACAAAUAUCUGAAGAAAUAUAUGUUUCAUUCGUUGGAUCUGUAGGGUGUUUGAUGAUUCUUUACAGUUUGCUUUUGUAGCUGUAUUAUGAAGUGUCUUGAGAUA
Long non-coding RNA from Canis lupus familiaris (dog), 1700 nucleotides. RefSeq lists it as uncharacterized. The record is from RefSeq and is a predicted model, not a curated record. Lineage: Eukaryota; Metazoa; Chordata; Mammalia; Carnivora; Canidae. The transcript has 5 exons.